This 370-nucleotide ribosomal RNA is filed under the name uncultured organism. RNAcentral's name for it is "bacterial SSU rRNA". It matches the Rfam family "Bacterial small subunit ribosomal RNA", at positions 526 to 896 of the family's 1533-position model. The record is from RNAcentral.
CGUAGGGUGCGAGCGUUAAUCGGAAUUACUGGGCGUAAAGCGUGCGCAGGCGGUUCGUUGUGUCGGUGGUGAAAGCCCCGGGCUUAACCUGGGAGUGGCCAUGGAAACUGGCGAACUGGAGUGUGGCAGAGGGGGGUGGAAUUCCGCGUGUAGCAGUGAAAUGCGUAGAGAUGCGGAGGAACACCGAUGGCGAAGGCAGCCCCCUGGGCUAGCACUGACGCUCAGGCACGAAAGCGUGGGGAGCAAACAGGAUUAGAUACCCUGGUAGUCCACGCCCUAAACCAUGUCAACUGGGUGUUCGGGAAGCGAUUUCUGAGUACCGUAGCUAACGCGUGAAGUUGACCGCCUGGGGAGUACGGCCGCAAGGUUA